Molecule: long non-coding RNA, 1517 nt
Filed under: Sinocyclocheilus anshuiensis
Lineage: Eukaryota; Metazoa; Chordata; Actinopteri; Cypriniformes; Cyprinidae
Description: lncRNA (ENSSANG00000002699.1)
Source: RNAcentral
UCCUUUCCUCUACUCUCCUCCCUCCCGCUCUGACUGUGAGAAUGCCCGUGCUGUACUGACAGAAACGAUACGGGCUUAGCAGACAUGGAGGCCCGAUUAAUGAGAGAGGCCCAUUCCGACGCGUCUGAGCUCGACUAACGCGGACCCGGAGAGGGAUUCGGGCGUCACAUCGGAUUAUCACGGUUUGAAGGUGAGAGGGCUGGGCACUUGGGAAGGGACGACAUUGCUUCAACCCAACAAGGAUAUUUUUACAACCUCUGCUUUUCCCCCCUUCCCCUCCAUUCCACUUCUUUCUUCCUACCUGACAUCUGCACAGUUCUCCAGUACCUACCUAUACCUGCGAGUGAGAACAUCCUGUCCCACUCAAGCCCCCCUUGUUCCCCAAAUCACCAAUGGAUCAGAGGACACAGGGGGGGCCCUCUACACCGCCCCCGCUCCCUGUCAAUGUCCCUCCAGCAGAACGCGAGAACGAGGGAGUAGGAGGAAAGAAGGACGAUGAAGAGGAAAAGAAAAAACAAGAGAAACCAAGAGAUGGGGUACAAAGUGAAACUUGUGCUGCUGAAAGUGGGACAAGUGACCAGCAACAGCAGCAAUCUGCACAGUUCUCGGUCAAAGAAACCAGUUACUCUGAGGGAAAUGUCAAGCUCAAGAUAGGCCUACAGGCCAAGCGCAUGAAGAAGCCUCCUAAGAUACUGGAGAACUAUGUCUGUCGUCCAGCCUUCCGAGCCACUGUAAGGCAUAGUGGAGGACGAGGCGGAGGACGUGUUAAUCGUGGGGCUGGAGCCAGUGAUGGGAGCAACCACACUUCUAGCCCAAGUCGUGGAAAAGGAGAGAAAAGCCCCUCUGUCAGCCGAGGAGCAUCUCUAUCAUCUAGUGCUCCUGCUGCUGCAUCUCCCUCACCUUCUCUCCCUCCUCCCAUUUCCACCAGCCCAGUAACUCCUGUGAAUGGAAGUGCUCCAGCAAAAAAGGCUCCUCAAAAACUUGCCUGUAAGUCAGAGGGAAAGGCUGAUGUAAAAUCCGUUGCUUCUUCAGAGAGUCCCCUUAAUCUUCAUCGCCCCAUGACAGAAAGCAAAUCACCCUCCUCUGGAAAGAAAAACCAGCUUCCACAAACCAACUCUGCUUCUACCCCAUCGCCACCGACAAUGCCCCCAGCUACCACAUUGCAACAGGACCCCAAAACAGAUGGGAUCUUAAAAACUCAAUACAAUUUUACUGAGGGGCAGAAGGAACAAGACAGGGGAAUUUCUGCCUGGGGUACUCCUACAGUAACUGAGAAGCUUGCUCAGCUCAUAGCUACAUGUCCGCCGUCAAAGUGCCCUAAGCCAAAAGCCCGAAAGGUGUCACCAGCUCCAGCACACAGUAGCUCGCCUCCCUUAAUUUCUAAUCUGCAGCACCCUGAACGGGCUAUGGCCAAUAGGAACACCUAUUCCAGGGCGGUGCACCUUGCCCCACCACCGGUUUCACGGCCCCCAGGUCGCCCAUAUGGGUCCAAAAAUAAAGACAGUAUUCUGGAGACA